This 301-nucleotide ribosomal RNA is filed under the name uncultured bacterium. RNAcentral's name for it is "partial 16S ribosomal RNA". It matches the Rfam family "Bacterial small subunit ribosomal RNA", at positions 509 to 808 of the family's 1533-position model. The record is from RNAcentral.
CAGUCGCCGCGGGAAUACGAAGGGUGCAAACGUUGUCCGGAAUUAUUGGGCGUAAAGGGCUCGCAGGCGGUUUCUUAAGUCUGAUGUGAAAGCCCCCGGCUCAACCGGGGAGGGUCAUUGGAAACUGGGAAACUUGAGUGCAGAAGAGGAGAGUGGAAUUCCACGUGUAGCGGUGAAAUGCGUAGAGAUGUGGAGGAACACCAGUGGCGAAGGCGACUCUCUGGUCUGUAACUGACGCUGAGGAGCGAAAGCGUGGGGAGCGAACAGGAUUAGAUACCCAGUAGUCCCUGUCUCUUAUACA